UACGUAGGGUGCAAGCGUUAAUCGGAAUUACUGGGCGUAAAGCGUGCGCAGGCGGUUGUGCAAGACAGAUGUGAAAUCCCCGGGCUCAACCUGGGAAUUGCAUUUGUGACUGCACGGCUAGAGUGUGUCAGAGGAGGGUAGAAUUCCACGUGUAGCAGUGAAAUGCGUAGAGAUGUGGAGGAAUACCGAUGGCGAAGGCAGCCCCUGGAUACGACUGACGCUCAUGCACGAAGCGUGGGAGCAACAGG
RNAcentral lists this ribosomal RNA (248 nucleotides) under uncultured bacterium. RNAcentral's name for it is "partial 16S ribosomal RNA". It matches the Rfam family "Bacterial small subunit ribosomal RNA", at positions 524 to 776 of the family's 1533-position model. The record is from RNAcentral.